UGGAUAAACCCUGAAACGAAAAUGGCAACUGUUCAACUCCUUCUACACCAUUCUCACUCAUUUGCCCUAAUUCAACACCAUUUCCCCCAAAUUUCUCACAAAUCAACGCCAAUCAAAUCCUCCCCCACCGAUUCCCCCUCAACCAGCUCAACCACCCCCCGCCGCAGCCGCAGAACCACCACCAAAAAAACAAGGCGGUCGAGAAAAACAGAGGAUUCACCAGCCACCAAAAACGCCGCCGAAGAGCUCCACGAUUACGACGACGGCGUCGAUUUCCCGUACCUGGAUCCACCGCUGGUAUGCUGCUUCGGAGCGGCGCAGAAGGAGUUCGUGCCGACGGUGAGAGUGGCGCCGGAGCAGAUGCACCCGGACAUCUACUCGCAGUGGAAAAUGCUGCAGUGGAACCCGCCCGAGUUCUCCCGGGCACCCGGCGGUCCACCGUCGAAUGUGGCGAUCUCUCACGUGAGGCUGGGCGGGCGGGCGGCGUUCAUGGGGAAGGUAGGGAAGGACGAAUUCGGCGAGGAGCUUGUGUUGAUGAUGAAUCAGGAGAGGGUGCAGACGAGAGGGGUGAAGCUCGACGAGGGUGCUCGAACUGCGUGUAGCUAUAUGAAGAUCAAAUUUGAGGACGGCAAAAUGUCUGCUCAGAAUUCCAAGGAUUGCCCCGAGGAUUCGUUACUUGUUUCAGAACUCAAUCUUGCGGUGCUUAAAGAGGCUAGAAUAUUUCACUUCACUUCUCAAGUCCUUACAUCAACUUCUAUGCGUUCUACCCUGAUUAAAGCGAUUGCGUGGACUAAGAAGUUCGGCGGUCUUGUAUUUUUCGACUUGAAUCUCCCACUACCGCUGUGGAAAUCACGGGACGAGACAAGGGAGCUGAUCAAGGAAGCCUGGGAGAAAGCAGACAUCAUCGAGGUCACAAAGCAAGAAUUGGAAUUCCUCUUAGACGAAGAGCAUUACGAGAGGAAAAGAAACUAUACACCUCAGUAUUUUGCUGAGAGCUACGAGCAAACCAAGCAACGGAGAGACUACUAUCACUAUACCCGCGAGGAGCUCUCACCUCUGUGGCAUGAUGGCCUGAAAUUCUUGUUUGUCACGGAUGGGACGCUCCGGAUACAUUACUACACCCCUAGUUUUGAUGGAGCUGUGGUUGGUACUGAAGACGUGCUCAUAACACCGUAUACUUGCGACAGAACUGGUUCGGGUGAUGCUGUUGUGGCUGGAAUCAUGCGGAAGCUCACCACACAGCCUGAGAUGUUUGAGAAUCGUGAUGUUUUGGAGAGGCAGCUCCGGUUUGCCAUUUCAGCCGGCAUAAUAUCACAGUGGACGAUAGGUGCAGUACGUGGUUUUCCCACGGAGAGUGCUGCGCAGAAUCUUAAAGAACAGGUGUAUGUGCCAUCCAUGUGGUAGGCAAAAGACUGCUUCGUUGAGAAAGACUCGUUAAGCUUCAGUGGCGCACACUCCCUUGUAACCGGCAUUCACCACCUGUUUCAACCAUUCUCGAUUAUCUAGCCGCUAUUUUUGCGGGUUGAUUAAGGUGGUGUUCCGAUUUAAUUUUUGGUUCCGUUGUUAUGUUUGCCGAUAUGAACGCCAUCUACACACAACGCCACGUCUCAUUUUCGUCAAACAAUGCCAAAUGGAAGUUUGAGCCGGGGCAAUCCGAGUGCAUUCCAGUAUGGAGGCCUGGCACAUGGAGGGUAGACGGAUAACAUCGGAGCUAGUCGGAUAAGGAAGAGCUUGCGCUUAUUGCAGCCAUGAAGGAAUUAGUUGCGACUGGUUGGAAAUCUGACAAUGGCUUCAGAUACCUCUAUCUGAACAAAGUGGAGGAAUCAUUAUACAUAAUUUUCCUACCACGGAUUUGAGGGCCAACCCUCUUAUUUAGUCUAAGAUAAUAGCUUGGAAUAAGAACAACAAUAAUCUCUGUAUUAUUGUAUUAUUCUCGAACGUAGUGUGGUCAGGUUUGAUGUCCACAAUGACUACAAAAUUGACUAUAAUGAUGAGCAGUGGGAUCAUAUUAUUAAA
This is a non-coding RNA of Salvia hispanica, 2016 nucleotides long. NCBI's taxonomy places the organism in Eukaryota, Viridiplantae, Streptophyta, Magnoliopsida, Lamiales, Lamiaceae. The record is from RefSeq and is a predicted model, not a curated record.